Molecule: unclassified non-coding RNA, 213 nt
Filed under: Rhodotorula diobovata
Lineage: Eukaryota; Fungi; Basidiomycota; Microbotryomycetes; Sporidiobolales; Sporidiobolaceae
Description: ITS2
Source: RNAcentral
AAUCUUCAACCCACCUCUUUCUUAGUGAAUCUGGUGGUGCUUGGUUUCUGAGCGCUGCUCUGCUUCGGCUUAGCUCGUUCGUAAUGCAUUAGCAUCCGCAACCGAAACUUCGGAUUGACUUGGCGUAAUAGACUAUUCGCUGAGGAUUCCAGACUUGUUCUGGAGCCGAGUUGGGUUAAAGGAAGCUUCUAAUCCUAAAGUCUAUUUUUUGAU